Molecule: long non-coding RNA, 1957 nt
Organism: Drosophila biarmipes
Lineage: Eukaryota; Metazoa; Arthropoda; Insecta; Diptera; Drosophilidae
Exons: 6
Source: RefSeq, a predicted model, not a curated record
GGCUGACCUUUUUGUGCAGCAAAAAGCCCAAGCUAACAAUCUACAGCAAUUUCUAAAAGACCGAAAAUAUAUCAACUUCUGCAAAAUAUGAAAAUUUAAAAUUUUUUUUUCAAAAUUUUUUUGCCAAAUAAUUGACAAAAAUUUCAGUGUCCCGAUUUGAAUGCGAAUUAAUUGAGGACAAUUGUGACUUUGUUUUGUAAAAAAAACAAUUUUUUUUACUGAAAAUUACCAUCAAGAAUCUAAGGCCAAAUCAGAAUAUUUUCACUGCGGUUUUUGAUCGCAAUUCUGCUAAAUCGGAUUCCGUGCCAAAAAGCUGACUAUUUUUUUUACUGAGAAUUAGCAUCAAGAAUUUAUUGCCAAAACAGAACGCAAUUCUGCUAAAUCGGGUUGCCCUGCCAAAAGGCUGGCCGUUUUGCGCAUUCAAUAACACAAGCUAACGGUUUACAGCACAUUCGGAAAGAUCCAAAAGAAUUUCUAUUUCGGCAUUUUUUAUGUAUUAUCGUCUAAUUUUUGUAUGUGUAUUCAUUCUUUUGGCUGUCCGUUAUUAAGCUGCUUUUCUUAUUCACAUAUUCAAUGGCGCAGUACAUAAAAAGAAUGAACCGUGGUUUUCUUGCCCUCUCCAUCUCCCUCUACCACUUCCCCUUUCAACAACUAUCUCACGCACUCUGUCCCUUCUCGUCUCUGUCACCCUCUCUUUACCUACCUCACUCUGGCACACUCUCUCUACCUAUCUCACUCUGUCACCUUCUCUACCUAAUUCUCUCUGUCGCGCUCGCUCUCUCAACAUGCCUUUCGCACCGUAUCUCUUCGUUUCUCUGUAUGCUUGCUCUCUUAAUUUAAGUUUCUCUUUCUUUGUGUUCAAUAUCUUUCGCGCUCGUGACUCCUAUUGACCGGACUCUGAGCGGUGCUCAUUAAGAGUGGAGUUUUCGAUGAUGGCGGGUGGCGCGAACGAGAAUUUUUUACAUAAAGGUAAACGAGUCACACGAGAAGUAAAACACAAACACAAGGAUCAAAAUAAAAUUCAGCAACUACCUCAUAACUCUCAGCAGCUCUCUGACCCCGCCCUCUCUCAUCAUCUCUGCCACCCCCCUCUCUCAUCGUUUCUUUCUAUUAUUCUCUUUCUUUGUGUUCACUCUCUGGCUCUAAAAUCUUCUUUCCCGCUUCUCCGAUUGAGUGGUGCUCAUUAAGAUCGGAGUGUUCAAUGAGGGCGGAUGUCGCGGACGCAAUGUUCUUUAGAAAAAGGUAAACGACUCUCAAGAGGAGUAGAGCAGAAACACCAGGAUCAAAAAUAAAUUGAGAUCGGAGUGUUCAAUGAGGGCGGAUGUCGCGGACGCAAUGUUCUUUAGAAAAAGGUAAACGACUCUCAAGAGGAGUAGAGCAGAAACACCAGGAUCAAAAAUAAAUUGAGGUAAGUGGACAAAAGUGUUUAAACAAGUUAAAGGUGCAUUUUUUUAACGUAAAAGAAACAAAAGCAGCAAGAACGGGACAACAUGCAGUUCCUUAAUAAAUAAAUACAUGCAUCUACACAAGUGUACAAAAGUGUUAAAUGUAGUUAAAGUGCAUGUUUUUAAAGUGAAAGAAACAAAAGCAGCAAGAACGGUUGAAAAUGUUGUUAUUUAAUAAAUAAAUAAAUACAUAAAUAUAUGAAAUUGGACAAAAGUGCAAAACAUAAGAGUACAAAAUUAGUUGAAAGUGCAUGUUUUUUUUUAAGUGAAAUAAAACAAAAACAGCAAUAACAGGCCAAAAUGUUGUUUUAUAAAUAAAUACUUACAUAUCCGCAUAUAAAUAUGAAUGAAAAAAAAACAGCAAGACCGGGCCAAAAUAUAGUUCUUUAAUAUGUAAAUAAAUACAUAUCUACAUAUACAUAUGUGGACAAAAGUGUUAAAAUUAGUUAAUAGUGCAUGUUUUUUAAAUGAAAAAAUAAAACAAAAAAAGCAAACAAAUAUAAAUUAUAUUC